This 446-nucleotide unclassified non-coding RNA is filed under the name Hevea brasiliensis (rubber tree). Lineage: Eukaryota; Viridiplantae; Streptophyta; Magnoliopsida; Malpighiales; Euphorbiaceae. The record is from RNAcentral.
GUUUGCUCAUCUGUUUUUUUCUUCUUCAUAUCGAAGAGACUCAUGUUUCUUAAGUGGCAGCACUACAGUCCUUUUCACACAAGUAGAGUAUCAUUAAUUUGGUUAUGUCGGUAAAUUGAUAUCACCGUGAGCAGUAGUUUGUGUGUGGUCAUGCAUACUGUCAAGAAAUAAAUUGUUAAACCAGUGGAUGUGACAUUUCAUCUACUAUGCCUUGUUACUGAUCCUUCUUACCUCUUCUAUGAUUUGUCACAUUACUAUUAAAAAAAAUAUUCGAUGAACAAAUUCCAGAAGUUAUUACAACUAAAAAUCAUAGAUUUGAUUGAUGGUGCAUUCAUCCAAUUAACUUUGCUGGGAAUGUACAAUGACUAACUUAAGUAUGUUCUUCUGCAACUGUUAAGUCAUGUCAGAAUGCUCGUUAUAAGUAAGCCUGCAAAUUAGUUUGUCAA